RNAcentral lists this ribosomal RNA (254 nucleotides) under uncultured bacterium. RNAcentral's name for it is "partial 16S ribosomal RNA". It matches the Rfam family "Bacterial small subunit ribosomal RNA", at positions 524 to 776 of the family's 1533-position model. The record is from RNAcentral.
UACGUAGGGUGCAAGCGUUGUCCGGAAUUAUUGGGCGUAAAGAGCUCGUAGGCGGUGUGUCACGUCGGCCGUGAAAACCUGCAGCUUAACUGUGGGCGUGCGGUCGAUACGGGCAUCACUGGAGUUCGGCAGGGGAGACUGGAAUUCCUGGCGUAGCGGUGAAAUGCGCAGAUAUCAGGAGGAACACCGGUGGCGAAGGCGGGUCUCUGGGCCGAUACUGACGCUGAGGAGCGAAAGCGUGGGGAGCAAACAGG